This 292-nucleotide ribosomal RNA is filed under the name uncultured bacterium. RNAcentral's name for it is "partial 16S ribosomal RNA". It matches the Rfam family "Bacterial small subunit ribosomal RNA", at positions 505 to 796 of the family's 1533-position model. The record is from RNAcentral.
GUGUCAGCAGCCGCGGUAAUACAGAGGUGGCGAGCGUUAUUCGGAAUUAUUGGGCGUAAAGGGCGCGUAGGCGGCCACGCAAGUCUUGGGUGAAAUCCCUCGGCUCAACCGAGGAACUGCCUUGGAAACUGCAUGGCUCGAGGCCGGGAGAGGGUAGCGGAAUUCCCAGUGUAGCGGUGAAAUGCGUAGAUAUUGGGAGGAACACCGGUGGCGAAGGCGGCUACCUGGACCGGUUCUGACGCUGAUGCGCGAAAGCGUGGGGAGCAAACAGGAUUAGAAACCCUGGUAGUCC